UACGGGAGGCAGCAGUGGGGAAUAUUGCACAAUGGGCGAAAGCCUGAUGCAGCUAUGCCUCGUGUAUGAAGAAGGCCUUAGGGUUGUAAAGUACUUUCAUCGGGGAGGAAAAACAAAACUAAUAAUUUUAUUUCUUGACGUUACCCGAAAAAGAAGCACCGGCUAACUCCGUGCCAGCAGCCGCGGUAAUACGGAGGGUGCUAGCGUUAAUCAGAAUUACUGGGCGUAAAGAGCACGUAGGUGGUUUUUUUAAGUCAGAUGUGAAAUCCCUGGGCUUAACCUAGGAACUGCAUUUUGAAACUGAAAUACUAGAGUAUCGUAGAGGGAGGUAGAAUUCUAGGUGUAGCGGUGAAAUGCGUAGAUAUCUGGAGGAAUACCUGUGGCGAAAGCGGCCUCCUAAACGAAUACUGACACUGAGGUGCGAAAGCGUGGGGAGCAAACAGGGAUUAGAUACC
RNAcentral lists this ribosomal RNA (455 nucleotides) under uncultured bacterium. RNAcentral describes it as "bacterial SSU rRNA". It matches the Rfam family "Bacterial small subunit ribosomal RNA", at positions 340 to 786 of the family's 1533-position model. The record is from RNAcentral.